AUGGUAAUCAAGGAGUGGGACCUGUGGGCCCCUGUGGCAAAUACAUGAGGGUCAUAUCACCAGCAACAUGCAGCUUUCUGCCUACUUAGACCCUGCCCUGGAACUGGGCCCCUGCAAUAUACUGCUGUUCCUACAGGACAAAAUAAGCAUUGAGGAUUUCACAGCAUAUGGUGGUAUGUUUGAAAUAAGAAUAACUGUACCUUUUCUAACCUGAAGAGUGCCCUGGACCUGGUCCCUUCUUCACUGGUGCUUCCUGCUGUGGACUGGUAUGCAAUCAGCACUCUAACCACCUACCUACAAGAAAAGCUUGGGACUAGUCCCUUGCAUAUAGAUCUAGCUACCCUAAAGGAGAUGAAGUUCAAUGUCAUCCUUCCUGACCUGCUGCUCAUCUGUCUAUCUACACAGCCAGCUCCAGACUGAAGGUGCCCAGAGAGGUCAUCACAGGUAAAGAUGAGGCCAUCGGACAUGUACUGAGCACACUGAAGUCUGAAGAUGUCCCUUACAUGUAGUUCUUACUUCAGUCUGCCCUUCUAGAGUGGCCCAUGGUAUAGCCAUGGUGGCUGGGGGUCUAGGUCACCAGCUGCUUCAGACUCAGGUGGCAUCACUUGUGAUCCAUCCUCCUGUAAGUUACAAUGACAUUGCCCCAAGGAUCCUUCUUUGGUGUUGAGAAUGUUGACUUGACCAGCUCCAUCUGUAAUGACUCCUUUACCACGCUUUCACUGAUCUAUGAGCCACUCUUUGGUGCAACAGUGACAUUCCAGUUCAUUCUGGCUAGUCGCUUCUACCCAGUAUCUGGCCGAUAUUGGUUUACCAUGGAAUGGCUUGAAUUCCAUAGCAAUGGCUCUGUUGCUCAUUUCAAUGUUUACCAAGUCACAGGACCUAGGAUCUAUUCUUUCCACUAUGAGUAUGUUAGCAGUCUGAGCAAGAAAGGCAAUCUCUUAGUGACCAAUGUGCCCUCACUCUGGCAGAUGACUUGUCAUAACUUCCAGAUCCAGGCCCUCAAUGUGACUGGUGAACAGUUCUUCUAUGCUAGCAACUGUUUUAGCUUCUCUCCCAGCAUCUUUAUGAGCUGCUCACCACCCUCUUCAUGAUUCUCAUAUUCACCUAUGGUCUGCACAUGAUACCCAACCUAAAGACCAUGGAUGCUUUGAUAACCACAAGGGUUCCACCAUCACUUUGACACAGAUAGUGACAUAUACCAGAAAGGGAUCGAGGGAGUAUUUUGAUAGCCUAGCAGGGACCAGGUGCCAUUACUUCAACAUUGUUAACCCCACCUCAGAGGAUUCCCAGUAUACUGGACUGUUCCUGUCUUACAUUGUCCUGUUUUCUGGGAUCUUACCUGUCAUUGACUACCAGUCUCAAAGAGAUAUCACUUCAGAGGUAUGUCACACAAGGGAGAGAUUAGGAACAUCAUACAUGGUGGUGUCAUGGAUCUCUGUCAUUCUUGCUUUGAUCACUCCCUUAAGGGGUCACAAUUGGGAUUUUCAAGAGUCAUCAGCACCUGGAGGGUCACCUUAUUUAUGGAAAGGUGCCUGUAGAUAUGCUGUUCAAGACACUUAA
This is an RNA transcript of Mus pahari (shrew mouse), 1560 nucleotides long. It is a transcript of the gene named V-type proton ATPase subunit S1 pseudogene, with no coding region annotated. Lineage: Eukaryota; Metazoa; Chordata; Mammalia; Rodentia; Muridae. The transcript is spliced from 3 exons. The record is from RefSeq and is a predicted model, not a curated record.